This 437-nucleotide ribosomal RNA is filed under the name uncultured eukaryote. RNAcentral describes it as "eukaryotic LSU rRNA". It matches the Rfam family "Eukaryotic large subunit ribosomal RNA", at positions 963 to 1391 of the family's 3401-position model. The record is from RNAcentral.
GAAGUUUCCCUCAGGAUAGCUGGAACUUAUUGUGAAGUAGUUUUAUCAGGUAAAGCGAAUGAUUAGAGGCUUUGGGGAAGAAACUUCCUCGACCUAUUCUCAAAACUUUAAAUAGGUAAGAUUUGAAGGAUACUUAAGUGAUCUUUCAAUCUCUUGAAUAUAAAGUUCUUAGUGGGCCAUUUUGGUAAGCAGAACUGGCGAUGUGGGAUGAACCGAACGUUAAGUUAAAGUGCCAAAUAAUACGCUCAUGAGAUACCAUAAAAGGUGUUGGUUCAUUUUGACAGCAGGACGGUGGCCAUGGAAGUCGGAACCCGCUAAGGAGUGUGUAACAACUCACCUGCCGAAUGAACUAGCCCUGAAAAUGGAUGGCGCUUAAGCGUAUAACUUAUACUUAACCCUUACUUGAAUUAUAAUAGCGAGUAAGGAGUAGGAGGGCG